GGUGGUGCAUGGCCGUUCUUAGUUGGUGGAGUGAUUUGUCUGGUUAAUUCCGAUAACGAACGAGACCUCAACCUGCUAACUAGAUCUUAUUAUCUUAUAAUUUGCAUCUUCUUAGAGGGACUAUGUAAUCUAAAUACAUGGAAGUUUGAGGCAAUAACAGGUCAGUGAUGCCCUUAUAUGUCCUGGGCUGCACGCGUGCUACACUGAUGCAUACAACAAGUGCCUAACCAGACAUGGUAUGGCAAUCUCGAAUAUGCAUCGUGAUGGGGAUAGAUCUUUGCAAUU
Molecule: ribosomal RNA, 285 nt
Filed under: uncultured rumen protozoa
Lineage: Eukaryota
Description: partial 18S ribosomal RNA
Rfam family: Eukaryotic small subunit ribosomal RNA
Source: RNAcentral